Molecule: transfer RNA, 72 nt
Organism: Hypsibius dujardini
Lineage: Eukaryota; Metazoa; Tardigrada; Eutardigrada; Parachela; Hypsibiidae
Rfam family: tRNA
About the family: Transfer RNA (tRNA) molecules are approximately 80 nucleotides in length. Their secondary structure includes four short double-helical elements and three loops (D, anti-codon, and T loops).
Source: Rfam
GCCGCUUUAGCUCAGUGGUAGAGCAUCAGUCUCGUAAACUGAGGGCCCCGUGUUCGAACCACGGAAGUGGCU